UGCAGAUUCUACAAAAAGAGAGUUUCAAAACUUCUCAAUCAAAAGAAAGGGUUAACUCUGUGAGAUGAAUGCACACAUCACGAAGAAGUUUCUCAGAUUGCUUCUUUCUAAAUUUGAUGUGUAGAUAUUCCGUUUUUACCAUUCGCUGCAAAGCGCACCAAAUGUUCAUUUGCAGAUUCUAGAAAAAGAGUUUUUCCAAACUGCUCAAUCAAAAGAAAGGUUCAACUCUGUGAGAUUAACACACACAUCACAAAGAAGUUUCCCAGAAUUCUUCUGUCUAGUUUUUAUGUGAAGAUAUUUCCUUUUCCACCACAGGUCUCAAAGUGCUCCAAAUGUCCACUUGCAAAUUCUAUGAAAAGAGAUUUUCAAAACUGCUCAACCAAAAGAAAGGUUUAACUCCGUUAGAUGAAUGCACACAUCACAAAGGAGUUUCUCAGAUUGCUUCUGUCUAGAUUUUAUGUGAAGAUAUUUCCUUUUCUAACAUAGGCCACAAAGCGUUCCAAAAGUCCACUUGCAGAUUCUACAAAAAGAGUGUUUCCAAGCUGCUCAAUCAAAAGAAAGUUUCAAUUCUGUGAGAUGAUCGCACACAUCACAAAGAAGUUUCUCAGAAUUCUUCUGUCUAGUUUUUAUGUGAAGAUAUUUCGUUUUUCACCAUAGGGCUCAAAGUGCUCCAAAUGGCCACUUGCAGAUUUUACAAAGAGAGAGUUUCAAAACUCCUCAAUCAAAAGAAAGGUUUAACUCUCUUAGAUGAAUGCACACAUCACUAGGAAGUUUCUC
This 777-nucleotide long non-coding RNA is filed under the name Homo sapiens (human). RNAcentral describes it as "HSALNT0270843". The record is from RNAcentral. Lineage: Eukaryota; Metazoa; Chordata; Mammalia; Primates; Hominidae.